RNAcentral lists this long non-coding RNA (962 nucleotides) under Gorilla gorilla gorilla (western lowland gorilla). RNAcentral's name for it is "lncRNA (ENSGGOG00000044579.1)". The record is from RNAcentral. Lineage: Eukaryota; Metazoa; Chordata; Mammalia; Primates; Hominidae.
CGAGCCCCUACAGCUCUACGGGAGGCCUCCCGGAACUAAAGCGGAGGAGGGGGCCAGCCUCAACCCACAGCCAGCUGACCCUCAGUUCCUCAAAGACAGACCCAGGGUGCAUGCCCAUCUCCAGCCCAGGGCAGCUCCCCUGUAAGCUGGGUGAGCUACUGAAGCCAAGGCGGGAGGCAGCUGACAACACCACCCACGGCCCAUGCGGAGGUGGUAGAAAGGCUGGACUCAGCAGGAACACCAAAUCCCGGACCAGGCAGAAACCACCCAAGACUGAGGAGCUCGUGCCAGAGCGGUGGCCACAGAGGACCGAAGCAGAGGGUGCUGUUUCAACGCCACCACCAGGAGAGAGGCAGAGGGGCUGUGCCAUGCUAGAGUCCUCAGGGAGGGAGUGACCUCGACCCUGGCUGUGCUGCAAGCUGACUCCAGCCUUGGGGUCAGCAGCAGCCGGUGAACAGCAGCAGGAGGAGCCGCUAGAGCAGCUGCUCGUGGGCAGAGCUGCCCUUGGACAACUCCUGCCACCACCCCCUCCCCAGAGGAGCCCAAGGCAGGGGAGGCUCAGCAUGGAAUGAAACAGGGGAGUGAGGGACACAAGGAGGUGGGAAGUGGGAGGGUCCCAGCCCCACCAAGUACGCAGAGACCCCCUCGUCGUCCUGGACACCACAGGGGCACCUGCAGGCUGGGAGACCAGGUCCUCUGUGCAUGGGCCCGGGAGGCAGACCUGCCCCAAGGGUGAUGCAGAGGCCACAGGUGCUGCACGCUCCAGCGCCCACUCUAGACAUCAGCCUCCAGGUUGACUAAGGGUCAGGUCAUGUCUGAAACCAUGCUUGGCUGGACCAGGACCCAUGGCAAGAGCACCUGGGCACCAGUGUUUAGCCCUGGUCUGCAGGAAGGAGGACAGCAGACUUUAGGACCCCACAGCACGGCAGUGCUGACGAUUUCACCCACUUGGCCUCCUUGAG